Molecule: long non-coding RNA, 1050 nt
Organism: Arachis ipaensis
Lineage: Eukaryota; Viridiplantae; Streptophyta; Magnoliopsida; Fabales; Fabaceae
Source: RefSeq, a predicted model, not a curated record
CUAUACCCUCUUCUCUCUCCGUGGCAGCCCCCAUUCAAACUGUGUUUCGAGCUCCAUUCAUAGAUCAAACACGAGCUUCUUCCUCUCUCCCUGGCACGAGUUACUUUUCUCUCGGUGGCUGCUACUUCUGCUUCUUCCGCCGUGGCCGUUGCCGCUGCCGCCGCUGCUUGCAUCGCACAAUCUCUCUGUCAUCCCUUGCGUCCUACGAGAUCCCCCCGCCGUCGCUCUCAUCGCAGAGCUCUCUCUGCCGACGCUCUCAUCGCAUCUGCUCCCUCUGGCACCUCUCCCAUCUAAUCUCAACUCACUCUCUCAGUUCUUCUUGUAACCAUCUCAAAUUUCAGUGUUACAGCUCAAGAUCUUGUUGACACUAUGCUUCUAAAUUUCUGAUAUCUUCACUCUUAACGAUGGAUCUGUAACGCCUCUACUCAAGAGCAUGACAGUGCAUAAUAUGUAUGUUGGAGAGGGUUCAGACUUCCAAUAUAAUAUAUAAAAGGGUGGCUGAGCAGUGGGGUUCUCUUGGUGACUUGACUACGUCUGUUACAUCGAUUCGAUUCAAUUGAUACAGAAGGAAUACUCAGGAUCUGCUAGAACUGGAGAUGGAUCUAUUAGACGAGAUCAAGUUGGUGAGGUCAAAAUACUCAGCUUGUUCAACAGGGUUCACUGAAUUAUAUUAGUUCCCAGUUGGUUGAAUCUAUUUUAAGCAAGGUUGUAGAAGAGUUCGAGCAUCAGAUUGCAAGCAGAGGAGGUGAACAGUUACAACCAAAAAUAACUUCAAGAGAUCCUAUUUCUCAAAGCAAUGGGUCUUCAAGAGGUGAACAGUUACAACCAAAAAUUUCUUGAAUGUAAGUAGAACUGUCCAAUGAACAUGACAACAUAGCAAAGAAAUAGGAAAGUGAUGUUGAUUCCUUUUAUUGUUGAUCUUUUUCUAGUCAUAUUCUAGCACUUGUUCUGUUUGGUUUAUUUUCUUGAGAGUAAAAACUAAAACGAGGUUCAGGGCCACCUAAUUAGAAGAUAAGAGGUGAAUUUAAUACAUUAACAGAUGUAAUACAU